CAGGAGUUGAGAGACACCGGAUCUACGAUAUUGUCAAUGUUUUGGAAAGCGUUGGGCAGGUAAAGUUCAAAUAAUGGCGCGAAUCAACAGUGCUGAAGAAGAAAGGAAAGGGUGCUUAUACGGCAUCGUUUGAAGUUUGUUUUUUAUUUUGUUGAAACGCUGCUUGUGGUGUCGUUUAUGUUAGUACUGUUUUUAACUGCUUCGUCAUACGACUUAGCUGAGUGUCGUUUUUGUUUGUAUCCUUAAAAACCAUGUGCUGUUUUUUUCUUUCCUGGUCUUUUUCUUCCAGAAUUGUUAAGGCCGUUGCUGGCACCAGAAUUGAUGCUUUGUUUUCUGUGCUCAGCGGUUUUCUCUUUCUUUGUGUGUGCUCAUCAUUAAUCCGAGUGUUGAGGAGAAUUUUGCAAUCACGAGGCAACAGCCACUAUAUAUACUCAAACCGAAAAUGAAAUGCUGGCUAGUUUUUCCAGCUCAACAAUUUUUUUCUUUUCUCUGUUGCUUUGUACUGCUCUCUGGAAAUUUCUCAUUUCUGUUCUUAGUGUGUUUCAAUCUAUUUUCCGUCAAUACUUCUAUAAAACUGCUUGACUAUCAGAGUUUCAACAGGUAAUUGAGAUGGAACAACAUUUCAUUUUAUCAUAUUUUUGAACUCCUCUAACAGUAUCUUCAUUUUUCAUAUUACUUACUUAUGGAUUGCAGAAACGCAAGAUCACUUUUUAUCCAAUCUUAUGGGAAGCAAGAAGAAGAACAAGCCAGAACAAAUCUUUUUCUGUAAUAUCUGCGAAAAAAAUGAUUAAAGAUUUGAGUGGCUUUCAAGCUCAUAUCAAGGAUAGGCAUAAGAAAUCUUGGUCAUGCCGCAAAUGCAACAUGAUUUUUACAUCAGAUGUGGAUCUUUUGAUCCACUCUGAUGCUAAAGAAUGUUAUGAUUACUUGAAAAGGAUUGAGUUACUGAGCCAAGAUGAAAUCAAGACUGAAGACCUGGAGUCGUCGCUGGAAGAGGUGGGAGAAAAAUGAAAUCAAGAUACAUUUCAGUUUCUGGUACUGACAUAUAAAUCCCUGAAAACUUUUUUCAGUUUUUGUUUUUUCUCAAGUACGAUCUCUUUCUUUAUAUCAUCCAAAAGCUGGUGACCUGGGAAUUGCUUCAAUAUGUUUUUCCUGUAUGAGUUUAAGAUCAAUGAUAUCCAUGUAUCUUUCUCCUUUGAGAAUUUAAUUUCCUAGCAAAAACCACCGGGUUGGCAUA
This 1234-nucleotide small RNA is filed under the name Theobroma cacao (cacao). Its description in RNAcentral is "sRNA Tc03v2_g000230". Lineage: Eukaryota; Viridiplantae; Streptophyta; Magnoliopsida; Malvales; Malvaceae. The record is from RNAcentral.